This 69-nucleotide transfer RNA is filed under the name Adelphocoris lineolatus. RNAcentral's name for it is "tRNA-Ser". The record is from RNAcentral. Lineage: Eukaryota; Metazoa; Arthropoda; Insecta; Hemiptera; Miridae. RNAcentral also lists the same sequence under 2 other names.
AAGAGAAUGUUGUAUCUAAAAGAAGCUUCUAACUUCUUAUUAAAGCGGUUAGAUUCCGUUUUUCUCUUA